GACGAACGCUGGCGGCGUGCUUAACACAUGCAAGUCGAACGGAAAGGCCCUGCUUUUGUGGGGUGCUCGAGUGGCGAACGGGUGAGUAACACGUGAGUAACCUGCCCUUGACUUUGGGAUAACUUCAGGAAACUGGGGCUAAUACCGGAUAGGAGCUCCUGCUGCAUGGUGGGGGUUGGAAAGUUUCGGCGGUUGGGGAUGGACUCGCGGCUUAUCAGCUUGUUGGUGGGGUAGUGGCUUACCAAGGCUUUGACGGGUAGCCGGCCUGAGAGGGUGACCGGCCACAUUGGGACUGAGAUACGGCCCAGACUCCUACGGUAGGCAGCAGUGGGGAAUAUUGCACAAUGGGCGGAAGCCUGAUGCAGCAACGCCGCGUGCGGGAUGACGGCCUUCGGGUUGUAAACCGCUGUCGCAUGUGACGAAGCGUGAGUGACGGUAAUGGGUAAAGAAGCACCGGCUAACUACGUG
Molecule: ribosomal RNA, 468 nt
Filed under: uncultured bacterium
Lineage: Bacteria
Description: partial 16S ribosomal RNA
Rfam family: Bacterial small subunit ribosomal RNA
Source: RNAcentral